AAGUCGUAACAAGGUUUCCGUAGGUGAACCUGCGGAAGGAUCAUUAAAGAUUUUGUUUUUUGGGGUUUAUCCUGAAAAAUAAUUCACCUUUUGUGCAUUGUUAUUAGAUAUACUUUGGUUAGAGCUUUGAUUUCAUUUUUGGAAGUCAACUUCUUGCUGACUCUAUCCUUUCUGAGGACAGUUGGCUAUGAAGCGGCCUACCAAAGUUUUUUAUCAAACACUUUUAAUUUAUCUGACCUAAAAACAAAUAAUUAAAUCAUAACUUUCAACAACGGAUCUCUUGGCUCUC
This 289-nucleotide unclassified non-coding RNA is filed under the name fungal sp. RNAcentral's name for it is "partial internal transcribed spacer region". The stretch from base 1 to 46 matches the Rfam family "Eukaryotic small subunit ribosomal RNA", at positions 1786 to 1831 of the family's 1831-position model. Lineage: Eukaryota; Fungi. The record is from RNAcentral.